Molecule: unclassified non-coding RNA, 206 nt
Filed under: Ascomycota sp.
Lineage: Eukaryota; Fungi; Ascomycota
Description: partial contains small subunit ribosomal RNA, internal transcribed spacer 1, and 5.8S ribosomal RNA
Rfam family: Eukaryotic small subunit ribosomal RNA (bases 1-47)
Source: RNAcentral
AAAGUCGUAACAAGGUCUCCGUUGGUGAACCAGCGGAGGGAUCAUUACAGAGUUUUACCAAACUCCCAAACCCCAUGUGAACAUACCUCGCGUUGCCUCGGCGGGAGCGAUCCCGCCGGCGGCCCCACGAAACUCUGUCGUAUUGUGAAAUUCUGAAUUACAAAGCUAAAAAGUUAAAACUUUCAACAACGGAUCUCUUGGUUCUG